RNA transcript from Anas platyrhynchos (mallard), 6474 nucleotides. It is a transcript of the gene named ankyrin repeat and death domain containing 1B, with no coding region annotated. The record is from RefSeq and is a predicted model, not a curated record. NCBI's taxonomy places the organism in Eukaryota, Metazoa, Chordata, Aves, Anseriformes, Anatidae.
UAUAUUCUUUGUGAUUUCUUAUACCAUGUUUAUUACUGUUUUUAUCUGAAGAAGUCCUUCAGUUCAGGAUUAGAAGCUUCUGUGAUGUGUGUUUUUUCUUCCAAGUUCUUGUGGAGAAAACUAUGUAAGCAGUAUGUUUGUUCUGGAUUUUUCUGUCACUGUUAUUCUCUAUUGGUAAUAACUUAAUUUAACUUUAACUUAAAAUCUGCUUUCAUUAGCAUCUGGAAAGUCUUUAUAGCUUGCCUGUGUCUAACAAUUUGUGAAGUAUUUCCUUUGAGAACCAUUCCAUACUUGCUGCAUUCACAGUCCUGAAACACAUGGAUGCUCUAGGAUGGCUGCAGAUGAGAAUUUGUCGGUAGUGUAGACUUCUCUGAUCUUAAUGUUCUUCUGUCCACCACUUCUGAGGAAAAGAAUGUGGGCAGCAUAUGCUUUGACCAAAGCAUUUAUUUGCAGGGAAGGAGUAAGUUUUGCUAUAAGUGGGACAGACACAGAGAUGACUCUCAGAACAACUUGCUUGAGUUUAUCUUGUAAAUCUCAGCACCUAAAAAUUUAGACUAUAGAGUAGCAUUCUCCUAUAUAAUGUUUCCUGCUGUCGUAGUAUCUUUAUUCACUCACGGGUUGUGAAAUACUUGUAUACAGAGUGUCUUACUGCCAGAUGUCACAAUGACCCAUUUUGUUUAUUAGUUGUCUGGCCUGGGUAUCUCAAAAUCUUUAUUGCUGGAAAUGUACCUGAUAGGAAUACAUAAAUACUUUUGGGUAUGACAUUUUGUUCUUAAAGUUGCUGAAGUUCCACUUUGAAGUGGCAGUAAUUCUACAGGUGGGAACAUCAGCAGCGCAGAGUUUGGGCUUGGAUUGCUCUGCCAUUAACUUGAUCCAUUUUGGCGUUAUUACAGAGUUUAUCCUCGUCUCUGUCUCACAUUGCAGUAUGUAUAUCCAAGCAAGAGAUUGUAUCACUGGAGCUGUCAAGGAUCAUACUGCCUGCAAAGUGAGCCUAGGGGAGCAGCCUGCAGAUGCCCGAGUUUGUUGUCCAGCUGGUGUUCUGAGGUAUGGUUCUGCCAUACCUUUACUUUUUUCUGUUUGUGUAAGUGGGCACCUGUUGAGACUGGGCCUCCUUGCUUCAUUGUUCUAAGCAGUACUUCUAAGGAAAAGCAAGCUGCAACAGGUAGCUGUAACCAUAAGAGAUGAAGAGAGCAAUGAGCACAACUGCAAGGCACUGUGGGUGCCCAGGCCAACAAUUUGUGCACCACGUAAAAGUGAAGGAGAUGUUCCAAUAGUCCCUUUGUCCACACUUUAUUAUGGAUUCUGCACCAGCCUUUUAUGCAGGUUGCUGUGGGGCCCUUUGAAAGAGUCAAGGAAGUGGGUAAAGAAUUUGUAUUUGCGAAGUCUGAGAGCAUAAAAUAUAGCUGUACUGGGACAGGUAGGAGAACACGGACAUGCUGUGAAAUAAGAUUAUCUGAUAGUAAUUAGAACCUGGAACUGACAGCUGUUUUUACCAGGCUAUAUGUAAAAUUAUGGUCCUGGCUUAAGGAUUCAUGUUUCCUACUUUAGGCCAGUUGUGUGAGAUGAACUGAGUAAUUCAAAAGUUGUGCCAUUUUGAGAAGGAGGAUUAAUGUUCCGAACAAGGGUCUGUAUUACCAGCCCAGUCAUCACACAGAAAUAAACCUCUUCCUCUUAAGAAGUUACACUGGAAUGUUUGACUCACAGGAAGCAAGUAAAAGUGAAAUCUCUAUGAUUCAGCUAUAGCUAAAACAGUUGUUUGUUCUUUCUAAUCUGGGUUUGUUUUCACACUUUGUUUUAUUUAUUUAUUUAUUUAUUUAUUUAUUUAUUUUAUUUUAAUUUUUGGCUGAAUAACAUUUAUGUACUGCAAGUACUGACAAAAAAAAAAAAUUCAUCUAGUUAGUUCAAGGUGUAUGCGACUCUAUUAAAGAUGUUCAAAGGUGAAGAGAGCUGAAUUAUGCUCACACAGUGUCACGGUCUUUUCUGCUUCUCUGGCUGGGGGUGCACCCGAAGCUGGGAGGGGACACAGGGCUGCCAUUGCUCAGGGACUGGCUGUGAUCAGUCAGCUGGUGGUGAGAAAUUGAGUGGUGCAUCGCUGCUUUUGGGUAUUCUUUCCCUUUUAAAAUUUUAUUUCCCUCCCCUCCCUUCCAUAUUAAACUUAUUUAUUUAUUUAUUUCCCCCCCUCAACUCUCUCCCUCGUUCCAGUGGUGGGAGGGGUGAGGGAACAGCUGUGUGCUCUGCUGAGCUGCCUGCUGAGUUAAACAUCACCAGACUUUGCUUGAUGGACAAACUUUUGAGUUGUUCAGGUUAAAUUUGCUGUGGACACAAGUAAUCUGAGAGGUUAAGACUGUAAUUUAAUUACAAAAAAAGAAGAAAAAAAGAAAAUUAUAGUGAAGGAACUCUAUGUCUUCAAUUGUGUAAGGCAGAGGAAUGAUAGUUCUGUGUUCUUUGGGCUACUUUUCUGAUAUUUUAUUUUAAAUGUCAGCAAUAACAGACACUAAUUUUAAAGUAAAAUUUAACUUAGUCACUCACAUUAAAAGUCAGCAAUUUUUAUGCCCUAUUUCAGGUAAUGAUUACCUACAUGAAAUGAAAAAAUCCGUUUAAGCAAACCAAGGUAAAUAUCGAUCUGGAAUUCAAGACAAACAGAAUUUUCUGAUUAGAUAGAUUAUGUCAGUUCACUAAAACUGAGCCUUUGGUGAUGUAAAUACUGAUUGAUUUUGCUAGACCUAGACAAAGAUGAGCAACAGUGAUGUCUGCGUGACAAUUAACUGAAAGUCUUGUGACUGGAUUAAUUACAACUGUUUCUGCUACAAUGUGCACAUUUCUGCUCAGAUUCCUGCCAGAAGCGCCCCGGUCUCUUGCAUCCCCAGAGCAUGCCAUGCUUGCGGGGGUGUCUGCGAUCCACUAACCUUGUCCUAACACAGAAUAACUUUGAGAGCAACAAAAGGGCCUUCUGGAAAGGCCGAAUCUGGUGGAAGCUGGGCUGAUGUGGCCGGGUGAUGGUGUGCUGCUGCCUGCAGCCUGGCUGGGUGUGCUUGAGUCAACUCAGAGCCUCAGGAACCGGUUUUUCGGUGCAGCAGGGAAAACACACCCCAGGCACCUCCCUCGGCAGCAGGCAUGGGGCUCCUUCCCUCAGGGGAGGAGGAAGAGGAGCUGCCAGCCAUGAUGAAGGGGCUGAGCCACCUGUUUGGUGCCAGGGAGGAUGUGAUGCAUGGAGAAGCGGCGGCCAACCACAACAGCUUAUUACCAGAUGAAAGAGAAUUUCAACGUGCUGCAAAAAUGAACAAUUUGGAAACCAUGGAAAAGCUGUUUAAAAAGAGUGUUAAUAUAAACGCUGUAGAUACUCUGAAGCGCACAGCAUUGCAUUUUGCUGUUGCAAGAAGCCACACAUCUGCGGUGGAUUUUCUCCUCCAUCACAAAGCUAGACUUGAUAUGGCAGAUCAGCAUGGCCUGACAGUGAUUCAUCUUGCAGCUUGGACUGGAAAUCUGGAUGUAAUGCGAAAAUUAGUUAAAGCAGGCGCUGAUCAAAAGGCAAAGAAUGAGGAAGGAAUGAAUGCACUGCACUUUGCAGCCCAGAACAACAGUGUUAAAAUAGUUGAUUAUUUUCUCCAAGAUCUUCAUCUGACUGACUUGAACAAGCCUGAUGGGAAAGGUAGAAAGCCAUUUCUCCUGGCAUCUGAAAAAGGCCAUGUUGACAUGAUAAAUGACUUGAUUGCUCUAAAGCUGUUCACAUCUGAAAAAGAUCAGGAGGGAAACACCGCCUUGCAUCUAGCAGCCAAAAACGGACACAGUGAAGUCGUAGAAAUUCUGCUCAAACAGUGGGAGGAAAUAAAUGACCUCAAUCAGAAUGGAGAAACACCAUUUUACUUGUCUGUUGAAGGCGGUCAUGAAAAAUGUGCUGAGCUGUUACUAGAAGCAGGGAGUGACAUCAACGUUUUAACUCACAACAACAGCAGUGCAUUGCAAAUUGCAAUUCAGAAUGGACAUCUAUCUUUGGUUACUUUUCUUAUUGAUAACAAUGUUGAUCUGGCCCCUAAACCUGAGCAGAAGAAUUCUCCGCUCCAUUUAGCAGUCAUCAAUAAUCAUCUGCCGGUAGUAAAAGCACUCUUGGAUGCUAAUCAUGAUAUAAACUUCUUAAAUCAUCAUCACCCUCAGGAGGGAUGUCGCAGGUCUCUGUGGCGCAAUCGGUCAGCGCGUUCGGCUGUUAACCGAAAGGCUGGUGGUUCGAGCCCACCCAGGGACGUGGGUGCCCAUUUUCCUGCAGGUGGGGACAUGAGUCCAUGGUGUUUGGCCUCUUGGCUGAUCCACAGCAUCAUGGCCCCCACCGUGGAGGGAGAGGAGUCCUCCAUAUUUGCAUGUCUGCCCACUCUCAUGGAUUGUGGGACACUUCUGGACUGCGUCUGGAGGUUAUUGUCCAUGUCUCUGUAGACCACCACCAACCAUGAAUCCCCUCCGAUUCUGGACGCCUUCCUCUCUGCUAAUCCACUGGCUGAUGACAAUGUAUUUACUGUGGCUGCCAAUUUACACACUCCCUCACAUGUUUCCAUGCUUGGUCCCUUGUCAACUUGUUUUCAGUUUUUGUUCUUUGAGUGUUGUUUACUACUCUCUUUUGCUUUGCCUGGGGAAGCCACGACAAAGGCACUAGCCUUGAGCUUCUUGUGGUAUUUGGGCCCUUCACAGCUGCUGUCCCCAUGCUCUGAGAACCAUCUCAUGGAGAAAAUUAACAAUUACAUCUUUUCUCCUUUUCUCUUCUGAGAGAUGUUUUGUGGAGAGAGAAAAGAAUGGCACCUACCUUUCCUAUCCUCCAGGAAAAUAAGUCUUUCCACCCCCGUUUUAAGGCCUCUUGGUUCCUUGAUUAUCCUUGCAUAAUCAGACUGUUUGCACCAGUGUGUGUGUUGUGAUUCUGAGUGUUGUUUGUAAGGUUACACAACUCAUUGGGAAUGCCACCUGGAACAUGUCCCAGGGCAGUAGAUCAGUGGGUGGCAGGCUGCUUGGAGGAGCUGUGCAGGUGCCCCAAGCCAUUCUUGUCGCCCAUAGCCUGGGUUUCACACCUGAAUGGGCACAUAAUCCCACUGACCCCAUGCAUGGUUUGAAAGAGGGGAGCCCUGCCUACCCUGGGGAAACAUGGGGAUUUCUGACGCUGUGCUGAGGCCUGGCACGUUCCUGUUGGGCUGCUGCCGAAAGGCCUUGGGAGAGACAGAGAGAGAUUGUCCCACCAGGGCCGCUGAGGCCCAUGCGAGGCAUAGCCCGCCUCCCACCUGAUAGACAGGGAUGUUCCCUGCCAUACUGGCCAGAAAUAGUCUCCAAGGAAUCUGUAAUUUGUCCCAACUCGUGGUGCAUUUAACUGCUGAAGAUUAAUUUAGGAGUUUCACGUGUAUUCCCCAAAGAGCUCCUGUGAGACUUUAUGUGGAAUCCUUGUGGCUGGCUCUCUUGGUGUGUAAGGUCACGGUGCAUGGCUCUACAACACUGAAGUUAAGGUGGGAUUUAAUACUUAUCUAAAGGUGAAAUGACAUCUCCAACCAUCUUUCUCCUAGCUCCUUGUGCAGCCCCAGCCUUCUCACUGGCAGGGCAGCAUGAGGAGCUGAGAAGGCUUUGGCUUAGCAUAAGUACCACUCAGCAACAACUGAAACAUCAACGUGUUAGCAGCAUUAUUUUCAUCCUAAACAGCACUGUACCAGCUACUAGGAACAGAGUUAACUCUAUCAUCCCAGCUGAAAGCAUGGCAGUCACAAAACCUUCAAUUAAAAAAGGUUGCUGUAUCACGUGAAAUGUGCUAAGGGACAUGUCCACCUACACAAGGUUUCCGUAAAUGAGAACACACCACAUUUGCUGCUGCGUUUCUCCCAUAGACAUCUGGAAUACUUUCCUGUAAGUGCAAAUAGUAGAAGAAAAGAACAAGAGGCAAACACUUCUUAGUGAAUAGGAAAUGCGUUCUUAUUACUAGACUGAUAAAUUCCCCAGGGGCUGCUAGUUUCUUACUGACAUUCUGUAGAAGGGUAAAUAAAUGGAUUUUAUUUGGGUAAAUGAAGCUGCAUAAAGACCACACAACCCUAAUUUCAGGCCAAAAGAUUAGACUUGAAACUGAAUGUUCCUUGACCUGUACUUUAUGUUAAUGGUUUGGUCUUUUGUAAAGUUUGUUUUGUUUUGUUUCAUUUUAUUUUACUGUGGUUUAAGGUUCACUGGACACUCCAUAUCAUCAUAUUGUGGCAGAGCUGGCUAAGAAACCCUGUCACGGACUGUGGCACAAUGUGCUGUUGAAAAUCAAGGUUGUCCAGUUGUUUCUGCAUGAAUUUCAGCAGGGAAAGAUUACUUGAGAGGCUAGCAUGGCAGUUGGCACUUGCAUGAAUCACUCUAUCCAAAGCACCUUGUUUUAAGAAGAGGCAGGAAACUCCUCUGCAUCUGGCAGCUGAUCUUGGCAAUGUGGAGCUGGUGGAAAUGUUGCUGAAGGCAGGCUGUGACCUCAAGACCACGGAUAAG